UCCGGUUUGUCACCGGCAGUCUCCUUAGAGUGCCCACCAUGACGUGCUGGAAACCGUCCGGACAUGUCAAGGGCUGGUAAGGUUCUUCGCGUUGCGUCGAAUUAAACCACAUGCUCCACCGCUUGUGCGGGCCCCCGUCAAUUCCUUUGAGUUUUAACCUUGCGGCCGUACUCCCCAGGCGGGAUGCUUAAUGCGUUAGCUGCGCCACCAACAAGCAUGCUUGCUGACGGCUAGCAUCCAUCGUUUACAGCGUGGACUAC
This 260-nucleotide unclassified non-coding RNA is filed under the name uncultured Alphaproteobacteria bacterium. RNAcentral's name for it is "contains 16S-23S intergenic spacer region". The record is from RNAcentral. Lineage: Bacteria; Pseudomonadati; Pseudomonadota; Alphaproteobacteria.